CGGGGGAAAAAUUUAUUGCUAUUAGAUGAGCCUAUAUUAGAUUAGCUAGUUGGUGGAGUAAUAGCCUACCAAGGCAAUGAUCUAUAGCUGAUCUGAGAGGAUGAUCAGCCACACUGGAACUGAGAUACGGUCCAGACUCCUACGGGAGGCAGCAGUGGGGAAUAUUGGACAAUGGGCGAAAGCCUGAUCCAGCCAUGCCGCAUGAGAGAAGAAGGCCUUUGGGUUGUAAAGCUCUUUUAGUGAGGAAGAUAAUGACGGUACUCACAGAAGAAGUCCUGGCUAACUCCGUGCCAGCAGCCGCGGUAAUACGGAGAGGGCUAGCGUUAUUCGGAAUUAUUGGGCGUAAAGGGCGCGUAGGCUGAUUAAUAAGUUAAAAGUGAAAUCCCGAGGCUUAACCUUGGAAUUGCUUUUAAAACUAUUAAUCUAGAGAUUGAAAGAGGAUAGAGGAAUUCCUGAUGUAGAGGUAAAAUUCGUAAAUAUUAGGAGGAACACCAGUGGCGAAGGCGUCUAUCUGGUUCAAAUCUGACGCUGAAGCGCGAAGGCGUGGGGAGCAAACAGGAUUAGAUACCCUGGUAGUCCACGCUGUAAACGAUGAAUGUUAAAUAUGGGAAGUUUACUUUCUGUAUUACAGCU
RNAcentral lists this ribosomal RNA (633 nucleotides) under Wolbachia endosymbiont of Bemisia tabaci. RNAcentral's name for it is "bacterial SSU rRNA". It matches the Rfam family "Bacterial small subunit ribosomal RNA", at positions 197 to 853 of the family's 1533-position model. Lineage: Bacteria; Pseudomonadati; Pseudomonadota; Alphaproteobacteria; Rickettsiales; Anaplasmataceae. The record is from RNAcentral.